GUCCAGGGAUGGGAAUCGAACCCACAAUGUUCCGCUUACCAGGCAGGUGCCAUGUCCACUAGGCUACCCUGGA
This 73-nucleotide transfer RNA is filed under the name Cordylochernes scorpioides. Its description in RNAcentral is "tRNA-Thr". Lineage: Eukaryota; Metazoa; Arthropoda; Arachnida; Pseudoscorpiones; Chernetidae. The record is from RNAcentral.